AGCGGACAGAUGGGAGCUUGCUCCCUGAUGUUAGCGGCGGACGGGUGAGUAACACGUGGGUAACCUGCCUGUAAGACUGGGAUAACUCCGGGAAACCGGGGCUAAUACCGGAUGCUUGUUUGAACCGCAUGGUUCAAACAUAAAAGGUGGCUUCGGCUACCACUUACAGAUGGACCCGCGGCGCAUUAGCUAGUUGGUGAGGUAACGGCUCACCAAGGCAACGAUGCGUAGCCGACCUGAGAGGGUGAUCGGCCACACUGGGACUGAGACACGGCCCAGACUCCUACGGGAGGCAGCAGUAGGGAAUCUUCCGCAAUGGACGAAAGUCUGACGGAGCAACGCCGCGUGAGUGAUGAAGGUUUUCGGAUCGUAAAGCUCUGUUGUUAGGGAAGAACAAGUACCGUUCGAAUAGGGCGGUACCUUGACGGUACCUAACCAGAAAGCCACGGCUAACUACGUGCCAGCAGCCGCGGUAAUACGUAGGUGGCAAGCGUUGUCCGGAAUUAUUGGGCGUAAAGGGCUCGCAGGCGGUUCCUUAAGUCUGAUGUGAAAGCCCCCGGCUCAACCGGGGAGGGUCAUUGGAAACUGGGGAACUUGAGUGCAGAAGAGGAGAGUGGAAUUCCACGUGUAGCGGUGAAAUGCGUAGAGAUGUGGAGGAACACCAGUGGCGAAGGCGACUCUCUGGUCUGUAACUGACGCU
Molecule: ribosomal RNA, 700 nt
Filed under: Bacillus sp. (in: firmicutes)
Lineage: Bacteria; Bacillati; Bacillota; Bacilli; Caryophanales; Bacillaceae
Description: bacterial SSU rRNA
Rfam family: Bacterial small subunit ribosomal RNA
Source: RNAcentral